This 253-nucleotide ribosomal RNA is filed under the name uncultured bacterium. Its description in RNAcentral is "partial 16S ribosomal RNA". It matches the Rfam family "Bacterial small subunit ribosomal RNA", at positions 524 to 776 of the family's 1533-position model. The record is from RNAcentral.
UACGUAGGGUGCAAGCGUUGUCCGGAAUUAUUGGGCGUAAAGAGCGUGUAGGCGGCCCGAUUAGUCCGCUGUGAAAGUCCAGGGCUCAACCCUGGAAUGCCGGUGGAUACUGUCGGGCUAGAGUCCGGAAGGGGCGAGUGGAAUUCCUGGUGUAGCGGUGAAAUGCGUAGAGAUGUGGAGGAACACCGAUGGCGAAGGCAGCCCCCUGGGUCAACACUGACGCUCAUGCACGAAAGCGUGGGGAGCAAACAGG